AUGUUUUCCAUGUUUUGUUUGUUGGUAAGGACGACUCGUCUUUCCUCAUUUGUGAUUCUUAAACCCGAAAUUCGGUUGUUCACGAGACGCAUGCACAGAGACCAGCAAGUAAGGAGCCGCUGUGAAGGCAAACCCGUCGCAGUAGCGACGCGACUCCGCCACAAACCUAAGGAGAGGAAAUCUCGCGAUGCGGGAUUCCAGCGUCUCCAGCGUAAGCAACGCAGCUCAGAGCCAGGGCCCGCACGCCGUGUGGGGUCCCGCGACCUUUGCUCACCGCAGAAGCCCCGCCCACAAAGCUGGUCCCGCCCUGGCCGCCGCGAGGCGAGAACUCUAGAAAUGGAGCUGAUCCAGGUGGGCUCGUCAGGUGACGAAGAUGGAAACCCCAGGUCUGCCAGCAAGAAAAGAGAGUCUGUGGGUCAGAGACUAUCCCCAGGGCAUCCUUGGAGCCAUGACCUGAAGAGAGACAAGCCACAGACUGGAAGGAGCUACAUUUGCAUCACCACUGGAGAACAAUCACCCCCAAAGGAUUUGGAGAGAAGUCUUCUCUAG
RNAcentral lists this long non-coding RNA (549 nucleotides) under Bos indicus x Bos taurus (hybrid cattle). RNAcentral's name for it is "lncRNA (ENSBIXG00005011534.1)". Lineage: Eukaryota; Metazoa; Chordata; Mammalia; Artiodactyla; Bovidae. The record is from RNAcentral.